UGGCGGCAUGCUUAACACAUGCAAGUCGAACGGUAACAGGCCGCUGUGAUCCCUUCGGGGUGAACUUGGUGCUGACGAGUGGCGGACGGGUGAGUAAUGCAUAGGAAUCUGCCCAGUAGUGGGGGACAACCUGGGGAAACCCAGGCUAAUACCGCAUACGACCUACGGGUGAAAGUGGGGGAUCUUCGGACCUCACGCUAUCGGAUGAGCCUAUGUCUGAUUAGCUUGUUGGUGGGGCAAUGGCCUACCAAGGCGACGAUCAGUAGCUGGUCUGAGAGGACGAUCAGCCACACUGGGACUGAGACACGGCCCAGACUCCUACGGGAGGCAGCAGUGGGGAAUAUUGGACAAUGGGGGCAACCCUGAUCCAGCAAUGCCGCGUGUGUGAAGAAGGCCUGCGGGUUGUAAAGCACUUUCAGUAGAGAAGAAAAGCCUGAGGUUAAUACCCUCGGGUCUUGACGUAACCUACAGAAGAAGCACCGGCUAACUCCGUG
RNAcentral lists this ribosomal RNA (494 nucleotides) under uncultured bacterium. RNAcentral describes it as "bacterial SSU rRNA". It matches the Rfam family "Bacterial small subunit ribosomal RNA", at positions 37 to 507 of the family's 1533-position model. The record is from RNAcentral.